This 397-nucleotide ribosomal RNA is filed under the name uncultured bacterium. RNAcentral describes it as "bacterial SSU rRNA". It matches the Rfam family "Bacterial small subunit ribosomal RNA", at positions 359 to 773 of the family's 1533-position model. The record is from RNAcentral.
GAAUAUUGGGCAAUGGGCGCAAGCCUGACUCAGCAAUGCCGCGUGGGUGAAGAAGGUCUUCGGAUUGUAAAGCCCUUUCGGCGGGGACGAUGAUGACGGUACCCGCAGAAGAAGCCCCGGCCAACUUCGUGCCAGCAGCCGCGGUAAUACGAAGGGGGCUAGCGUUGCUCGGAAUUACUGGGCGUAAAGGGCGCGUAGGCGGCCCUGUCAGUCGGGCGUGAAAUCCCCGGGCUCAACCCGGGGGCUGCGCCCGAGACGGCGGGGCUGGAGGACGGGAGAGGCUCGCGGAAUUCCCAGUGUAGAGGUGAAAUUCGUAGAUAUUGGGAAGAACACCGGUGGCGAAGGCGGCGAGCUGGCCCGUUACUGACGCUGAGGCGCGACAGCGUGGGGAGCAAAC